CUCGUUGCUGGAACCAAGUACCGAGGAGAGUUUGAGGAAAGAUUGAAGAAGCUAAUGGAAGAAAUCAAACAAAGUGACGAAAUAAUUCUUUUUAUUGAUGAGGUGCAUACAUUAAUUGGAGCUGGAGCAGCAGAAGGUGCAAUUGAUGCUGCCAAUAUCCUGAAACCAGCUCUUGCGAGAGGUGAAUUGCAGUGUAUUGGAGCUACAACAUUGGAUGAAUACAGAAAGCACAUUGAAAAGGACCCUGCUUUAGAAAGACGAUUCCAGCCAGUCA
RNAcentral lists this unclassified non-coding RNA (274 nucleotides) under Hevea brasiliensis (rubber tree). The record is from RNAcentral. Lineage: Eukaryota; Viridiplantae; Streptophyta; Magnoliopsida; Malpighiales; Euphorbiaceae.